AUGCAAGGGAUACUGUAUGUUACAUCAUGUCUGCUUCCAUCAUUCCAUAUUUUUCGACUCAUUAACCAUUGUUUCCACAGGGAAUUUCAUGUAAAGGAGUUGGCUGAAGUGAGAAUUGAUUUUGAACUGAAAGUUCAGGCACUACAGGAAAAGAUUGUAGAGGUGGAUGGUGAGAUGGAGGAGGGCCAGAUAGUGAAUGCCAUCCGCCUGGAGUCUAUUGCUAAGAUGUCUGACAGAUUUAAAGCUCAAAGGAAAGAGGAGGACGACGUCAUGGCUGAACACCUCAAUGUCUCAAGACGCUUAGAAAAGUCCAGACUUAGACUUGAGGAGCGCAUUGCAUCGAUCGCUAAACAUAAAAUUGAGAUCAGAGAAAUGGAUGAAGAGAUCAAACAACUCCAUGAAACCAAUAUAGUUAAUGCAGACCUGUUUGAAAGAAAUGUGGAUGAACUGCAUGGACAGCUCAAUAAAGAAAAGAAGAACAUAGCAAUCUUUGAAGUUGAAAAAGAAGUACUGUGCCAGUCUCUGGAGAAUCUAAAAAAAGAUCAAGUACAGCAUGUGAAAGAGGUCAACUCUAAUAUCGGUUUAACCAGGAGGAGAUAUGAGGAACUGCUUGAAGAGGAGAAGAAACUCAGAGAGCAUGUAUUCAUGGGCGCGUUGAUUGAACGUCUCAGUAACAAGAUUGUUAAGGCAGAGGAGGGGAAUGAACAGAUGACCAUUUCCUACAAUGCCAAGAUCCAACAGUUCAUCACUGAAGCGGAGUCAGUGAUACAGAGCCGACUGGAGAAGGAGGAGGACCUGAAGGGUAAAGAGUCUAUCUUGGAGGAGGUGGAGGCCCAGUUUGAUAUUGACCAGUCCAGGCACCAAAAACUAAAAAACCAUACCUCAGAGUUAAAGAGUAAGAAUAAUCAUCUGGAGCUCGUCAUCCAGGAUAUGAAAGAGAGCACUAGUACUCUUCUCAAACCAAAGGAGGACAUGAAGAGGAGUCUAGAGGGUUUGCGUGAGAAACACCUGGAGCUGCUGACGUCUCACACUGCAGACAUCAUUGCCACGGAGAAGAGCAUCUAUGACAACGGGAUGAUGCUGGAGCAGGUCAAUAUGGAGAACAGUAGACUGCAUGUGCGUAUUGAACAAAUGAAGGAGGACAUAUGGAACACCAGGAAAGACCAGGAAAGACACACAAAGGAGAUUGGGUGGCUGAAAGAGGAGGUUCAUUCUCUAUUUGAGAGCCUGCUUGAUGCUUGGGCAGAGGACACUGUGGUGACUGAGGAAUCUUCAGAGAGAGACCACAAGAUUCUGGAGGCUAUCUACAGACUCAUGACCAAGAUCCACGACAGGAAGUUCCAACUGGGGGAUAUCAACAGUAGACUAGAGGAGGAACUGAAGGGCAUGAGUUCCCUGUUAGCCAGUAAUAAAUCAAACAUUGCACUUAAAGAACAGGGCAACUAA
This 1446-nucleotide long non-coding RNA is filed under the name Oncorhynchus kisutch (coho salmon). Its description in RNAcentral is "lncRNA (ENSOKIG00005018054.1)". Lineage: Eukaryota; Metazoa; Chordata; Actinopteri; Salmoniformes; Salmonidae. The record is from RNAcentral.